RNAcentral lists this ribosomal RNA (255 nucleotides) under uncultured bacterium. RNAcentral's name for it is "partial 16S ribosomal RNA". It matches the Rfam family "Bacterial small subunit ribosomal RNA", at positions 524 to 778 of the family's 1533-position model. The record is from RNAcentral.
UACGAAGGGGGCUAGCGUUGCUCGGAAUGACUGGGCGUAAAGGGCGCGUAGGCGGAUGGCACAGUCAGAUGUGAAAUUCCCGGGCUUAACCUGGGGGCUGCAUUUGAUACGUGUUGUCUUGAGUUCGGAAGAGGGUCGUGGAAUUCCCAGUGUAGAGGUGAAAUUCGUAGAUAUUGGGAAGAACACCGGUGGCGAAGGCGGCGACCUGGUCCGAUACUGACGCUGAGGCGCGAAAGCGUGGGGAGCAAACAGGAU